CACGCCGUAAACGAUGAAUACUAGGUGUAGGGGGUAUCGACCCCCCCUGUGCCGACGUUAACACAUUAAGUAUUCCACCUGGGGAGUACGGCCGCAAGGCUGAAACUCAAAGGAAUUGACGGGGACCCGCACAAGCAGUGGAGUAUGUGGUUUAAUUCGACGCAACGCGAAGAACCUUACCAAGGCUUGACAUCCUCUGAUCGCUGUAGAAAUACAGUUUUCCCUUCGGGGACAGAGAGACAGGUGG
Molecule: ribosomal RNA, 247 nt
Filed under: uncultured Eubacteriales bacterium
Lineage: Bacteria; Bacillati; Bacillota; Clostridia; Eubacteriales
Description: uncultured Clostridiales bacterium partial 16S ribosomal RNA
Rfam family: Bacterial small subunit ribosomal RNA
Source: RNAcentral